UGAAGAGUUUGAUCCUGGCUCAGGAUGAACGCUAGCUACAGGCUUAACACAUGCAAGUCGAGGGGCAGCAUGGUCUUAGCUUGCUAAGGCCGAUGGCGACCGGCGCACGGGUGAGUAACACGUAUCCAACCUGCCGUCUACUCUUGGACAGCCUUCUGAAAGGAAGAUUAAUACAAGAUGGCAUCAUGAGUCCGCAUGUUCACAUGAUUAAAGGUAUUCCGGUAGACGAUGGGGAUGCGUUCCAUUAGAUAGUAGGCGGGGUAACGGCCCACCUAGUCUUCGAUGGAUAGGGGUUCUGAGAGGAAGGUCCCCCACAUUGGAACUGAGACACGGUCCAAACUCCUACGGGAGGCAGCAGUGAGGAAUAUUGGUCAAUGGGCGAGAGCCUGAACCAGCCAAGUAGCGUGAAGGAUGACUGCCCUAUGGGUUGUAAACUUCUUUUAUAAAGGAAUAAAGUCGGGUAUGGAUACCCGUUUGCAUGUACUUUAUGAAUAAGGAUCGGCUAACUCCGUGCCAGCAGCCGCGGUAAUACGGAGGAUCCGAGCGUUAUCCGGAUUUAUUGGGUUUAAAGGGAGCGUAGAUGGAUGUUUAAGUCAGUUGUGAAAGUUUGCGGCUCAACCGUAAAAUUGCAGUUGAUACUGGAUAUCUUGAGUGCAGUUGAGGCAGGCGGAAUUCGUGGUGUAGCGGUGAAAUGCUUAGAUAUCACGAAGAACUCCGAUUGCGAAGGCAGCCUGCUAAGCUGCAACUGACAUUGAGGCUCGAAAGUGUGGGUAUCAAACAGGAUUAGAUACCCUGGUAGUCCACACGGUAAACGAUGAAUACUCGCUGUUUGCGAUAUACUGCAAGCGGCCAAGCGAAAGCGUUAAGUAUUCCACCUGGGGAGUACGCCGGCAACGGUGAAACUCAAAGGAAUUGACGG
Molecule: ribosomal RNA, 919 nt
Filed under: uncultured Bacteroidota bacterium
Lineage: Bacteria; Pseudomonadati; Bacteroidota
Description: bacterial SSU rRNA
Rfam family: Bacterial small subunit ribosomal RNA
Source: RNAcentral